RNAcentral lists this ribosomal RNA (465 nucleotides) under uncultured bacterium. RNAcentral's name for it is "partial 16S ribosomal RNA". It matches the Rfam family "Bacterial small subunit ribosomal RNA", at positions 28 to 507 of the family's 1533-position model. The record is from RNAcentral.
GACGAACGCUGGCGGCGUGCUUAACACAUGCAAGUCGAACGGAAAGGCCCCUUUGGGGGUACUCGAGUGGCGAACGGGUGAGUAACACGUGAGUAACCUGCCCUUGACUUCGGGAUAACUUCAGGAAACUGGGGCUAAUACCGGAUAGGAAUCCUUGCUGCAUGGUGGGGGUUGGAAAGCUUCGGCGGCUUUGGAUGGACUCGCGGCGUAUCAGCUUGUUGGUGGGGUAGUGGCUUAACAAGGCUUUGACGGGUAGGCGGCCUGAGAGGGCGACCGGCCACAAUGGGACUGAGAUACGGCCCAGACUCCUACGGGAGGCAGGAGGGGGGAAUAUUGCACAAUGGGCGGAAGCCUGAUGCAGCAACGCCGCGUGCGGGAGGACGGCCUUCGGGUUGUAAACCGCUUUCAGCAGGGGCGAAGCUUGUGGUGACGGUACCUGCAGAAGAAGCACCGGCUAACUACGUG